This 252-nucleotide ribosomal RNA is filed under the name uncultured prokaryote. Its description in RNAcentral is "partial 16S rRNA". It matches the Rfam family "Archaeal small subunit ribosomal RNA", at positions 475 to 726 of the family's 1478-position model. The record is from RNAcentral.
ACCGGCAGCUCAAGUGGUGGCCAUUAUUAUUGGGCCUAAAGCGUUCGUAGCCGGUUUGAUAAGUCUCUGGUGAAAUCCCGCAGCUUAACUGUGGGACUUGCUGGAGAUACUAUCAGACUUGAGGUCGGGAGAGGUUAGGGGUACUCCCAGGGUAGGGGUGAAAUCCUAUAAGCCUGGGAGGACCAACGGUGGCGAAGGCGCCGAACGGGAACGAACCGGACGGUGAGUAACGAAAGUCAGGGGCGCGAAGCG